GUGCUCGCUUUGGCAGCACAUAUACUAAAAUUGGAACGAUACAGAGAAGAUUAACAUGGCCCCUGUGCAAGGAUGACACGCAAAUUAAUGAAGCAUUUGAUGUUCUC
This 107-nucleotide small nuclear RNA is filed under the name Castor canadensis (American beaver). The record is from RNAcentral. Lineage: Eukaryota; Metazoa; Chordata; Mammalia; Rodentia; Castoridae.